AGAGUUUGAUCCUGGCUCAGAUUGAACGCUGGCGGCAGGCCUAACACAUGCAAGUCGAGCGGUAACACAGAGAGCUUGCUCUCGGGUGACGAGCGGCGGACGGGUGAGUAAUGUCUGGGAAACUGCCUGAUGGAGGGGGAUAACUACUGGAAACGGUAGCUAAUACCGCAUCACGUCGCAAGACCAAAGUGGGGGACCUUCGGGCCUCAUGCCACCAGAUGUGCCCAGAUGGGAUUAGCUAGUAGGUGGGGUAAUGGCUCACCUAGGCGACGAUCCCUAGCUGGUCUGAGAGGAUGACCAGCCACACUGGAACUGAGACACGGUCCAGACUCCUACGGGAGGCAGCAGUGGGGAAUAUUGCACAAUGGGCGCAAGCCUGAUGCAGCCAUGCCGCGUGUAUGAAGAAGGCCUUCGGGUUGUAAAGUACUUUCAGCGAGGAGGAAGGCAUUAAGGUUAAUAACCUUGGUGAUUGACGUUACUCGCAG
RNAcentral lists this ribosomal RNA (485 nucleotides) under uncultured Klebsiella sp. RNAcentral describes it as "bacterial SSU rRNA". It matches the Rfam family "Bacterial small subunit ribosomal RNA", at positions 8 to 484 of the family's 1533-position model. The record is from RNAcentral. Lineage: Bacteria; Pseudomonadati; Pseudomonadota; Gammaproteobacteria; Enterobacterales; Enterobacteriaceae.